UGGCGGCCUGGCCCUCAGCCCCGCCUCAGGGCUGUGCCCCCGACUGCGCCCGGCUCUGUCCCCACCUCCCCAGCCCCAGGUGUCACUAUGUCGACCGUGCUGGAGUGCAGUGGCUAUUCGCAGGCACAGUCAUAACUCACUGCAGUCUGGAACUCCUAGGCUCAAGCAAUCCUCCAGCCUCAGCCUCCAGAGUAGCUGGGACUAUAAGAACGCACCACCGCACCAGGCUCUAAAGGUAGUUUUCAAAGAUGUCUCUGGAGUAUUGUUUCUUCCAGAAUGAUGUGACAGUUUUGAUAUUUCAAGACAGACUUCUCUCAAAUUCAGCAGAAACCUGAAAGUAGGAACCAGGGACAUUUUAGCCUCAUAGUUCU
RNAcentral lists this long non-coding RNA (371 nucleotides) under Homo sapiens (human). RNAcentral's name for it is "HSALNT0275526". The record is from RNAcentral. Lineage: Eukaryota; Metazoa; Chordata; Mammalia; Primates; Hominidae.